Molecule: non-coding RNA, 21 nt
Filed under: Caenorhabditis elegans
Lineage: Eukaryota; Metazoa; Nematoda; Chromadorea; Rhabditida; Rhabditidae
Source: RNAcentral
UUUGUCGACGUUAUGGAAAGU